Molecule: long non-coding RNA, 3795 nt
Filed under: Nicotiana tabacum (common tobacco)
Lineage: Eukaryota; Viridiplantae; Streptophyta; Magnoliopsida; Solanales; Solanaceae
Description: long non-coding RNA (NTAB_LNC001606)
Source: RNAcentral
AAUAAAAAUAAUUCAAAUGUAUAUACUUGAAAUAAACUUCAACAAAAAAAAUAUAAUUUGCGUAGUACUAUACCCAUACUAAUAAAGCACUACUAUUUCAAGAAGUUCACAAGCAAUGAACUUUACAAAACCGAAUGUAUUUCAUCAAAUAAUAAUAAAUUGAAAAUUAAAUUUUGAACAUUAUUUAGGUCAAUAAAAAUUAUCUAGGCCAAAUUAAAUUUUGAACUUUGGGAAUCCUUGAGCAGUACCUUCUCCCCAACCAUGUAAGCAACAUCACAGACCUUCCUAUUGGCAUAACUCUUCUGUCUAGAGUGCACUAUGCGAAGCCGUUCCUGAAUCAUCUUAACCUUAUCCAAAGCAUCCCGGACCAAGUCAGUACCCAUUAGCCAACGCCUCUAAGUCAGAAUCCGGGCUAGAAACGACGCAUGCAUCCGUCGUCCGCUUGCCGACCGGCAGUAGGGGCCACAAUAUCAAUAACAAUAAACGUCACAAUUGUUCAAAAAGUAUGCAUCAUUCACGUCAAUAGGUCAAAUUGAUUUGUGGCCACAUUUUUAAUUGCAUCACUCGCAUUUUCCUGCACAUUCAAAAUGAAAUUAAAAAUUAGAAAAAAAAACCUAUAUAUAGUAUGCAUUGGUUAUAGCAACAUGUCUUACUAAUAACUAAUGAGGUUUAUUUCACUACUAAAACAUAACUAAGUCAAACACAAAAAAAGAGGUGCAAGCUAAGGAGAAGCAAAGUUGUGAAUUAAUAACUUGCUUACAUCCCAAAAUCACAGAAUGCUUUGCCUCGAUUUCGAUAUGAGCACAUGCAUAAUAAUAGUGAGAUUUGGAAAAGACAAGGAUUUCAACGUAUCCUACACUUGAAAGAGGUCAAAGAAUAUUCUAAUUCCCUUCAAAAGGUUUAGUACUUUGUGUAAGGGCAUAUUAUACCAAUUAUAUUCGUGAAAUAUAUUUUCCUUCCAUUCAUUCAUAACUCCUGUUAUUAUGUAAUGGAAUCAUCAAAAGCAAAUAGUUUAGAAAAACAUGGUCUUAUAAGUUUAGAGUGUGAAAUAUAAAUAUCUUUUCAAGACUCGGAGCAUGAGUUGAGCCAGAAGAAUGUGAUAGAUUUUGGCCACUCAUUCCUCGUACACUACUUGCAUCAACGGGUGAAGGAAGAUUAGAUCCGGCACACCCUUGUAUAUCAUGAAUAUUUAGUCCAGGGUUAUUUUGUACCAUUUGAACAAAAAAAUAUCGCAUUUCUUCUCUCAUUAUUUCCUUCAUUUCUUCCUUCAAAGAAGUUAUUUCAUUAGCAUGCUUUUGUUGAAGCUUGCUGAUUUCCUCAUCUUUUUUCAGAGAUCUUAUCGUCACCGAUCUACCAUAGCAUCUAACCGGACCAGGUUGCUCGUUUCCAAACACAAUCUUAAAUGCAUCAUCUGCUGUUUCUUGAAACUUUGACGAUUUUGAAGUUCAGACCGUUAAAAAGAAAUAUUACUGAAUAUCACUUAGUGGAUAUGCUAUAGAAAGUAAAAAAUAAUAACAUUUGAAUACAGAAAUGGAGCAGCUAUGCCGAAUAUUGUGUAGAAAUACAGUUGAAAAAUGCAAAAAUCCAGAAAGGCAGUGCAAAAAUAUAGAAGCACAUAGCAUACUGUGCUAGUGUGCUUAAUAGAACAAGUAAAGUUUCAACUGAACCUUUUGGAAUGUAAUACAUAUACUGAUUAGAGAAGUGGAAAUCAGUCUCCUUUGGUACCAGGUGACAGAUUUUCAGCUCCUCUGUGAUUUGAAAUUACCAUUACAUGACAGAAUUCUCAUAAUUUAUUGCUUAGUUAAUUCACUGCUUGUUACUUCUUUUCACAUCACUUAUUUUGCUAUUCUGGAAUCCGUAUGUAGCGAGUCCAUGCAUUAUAACUUCUGAUGGCUUUGUUGUAACCUAUGAAUGGUAAGAGACAUAACAACUUUAAGGAGUGUUUGAUUAUAGUAGUAUGACAUAUUUGUGGUAUAGAGGGAGUAAGUUUAUUUGGACUGACAAAAAGAAGAAACACGAACUAACCUAAUCCUUGAAAGAUUGAAUCGAUGUCUUGCCAAAAAUAGGAAAAUCUUGAUAAUACCAGUAGAUGACAGCUUAGUCAUGCUACGGAACUUAACUUCUUCCUCCUAGUAAAAUCUUUUUUCUUCUUCCACCUGAUAAAUAUAGAUAAUUUUCAGACAUGACCAACUUCAACUCAGUUCUGUACAAGUCCACACAUGUGAAUUGUGACCCCCACCUUCUAAAUGACCAUCCAAAAUAGCAGGAAUUCUCUUAACUUAAACACAAAUUUCACAUGUAGGUGUCAUAUGUGGAAGGGUAAAAAUUAGCUGAAGUAAUACUUACUUUGUCAAACACUAAUCACGUGGUAGAAAUUAUCUAAAAUAUGUUUUGACCAGAUCUGAUCAACUCUUUCUCGGCAACUUCACAGCCAACUUUCAGUAGCACAGAAAUAAAUCUCACAAUCUGCAAUUAAAAAGAAUAUCGAUAAGAACACAAAGAUAAAGGCUGACCUGAGAUUGUCAACUUAAUAAUUUAGCAAAGCUGCAAAGAUAAUUGGACAUAUAUGCUAAGAUUCUCUACUCAGCUUCUAUUUCACAUACUAAAAGCUGAUAAGAGAAGAUCAUAUUACGAAGUAUAUAACUUUGGAUAUCUUUUUGGCAUAACAUUAUUCAAAUAUAAAAUGAUCAAAUUGUAGAACAAUUGAAAGAUCAGCUCAUUGAAAUAGUAUAAUUUCUUAGUUUAAUUAUACGCCCUUAGUUGUAUAAAUAAGUAAAAAAAAAUGAUCUCAUGCUGCGUCUUCAAAAUCAAACUCAUCUUCUGAUAUCAAGGAAUAUUGAUUAAUACUCGAGCACAUAAAGGAGAAAAGCUCAUAGAAACAGAAAUACCUCUACGAAAUUUUAUAGUAUUAGAAAUUUAAUACGUCUAUCAAGUGAUUGCAAAUCAGAACAAACCAAAAGAAGAACUAAGGAAAUAGAAUUUUACACCCCAAGAAAACUCAAAUAUUAACUCUCAAACAAGAAUUCUGGUCAAGCGAUUUGCGUGUGACUAUCAUCUCUGACAAGGCUAUCCAAAAAUAGUUGACGAUUGAGUUUACUGGAGGUCGAACGGUGUUGUUGUUACAUAUUAUGUUACCUCAAAGUAUAGUGGAUAGCAGUUAAAGCUAGCUGCCUUAACUGAUUAGGGUAGGAAAACAAAACUUAGCAGAUGCCUCCCUUAAUCAUAAAAGAGUAAGAUAGCCCAUUUUGAGCUAAGAAGUUAUAAGAAUUGAGAACAAUACCAGUUUUGACUUAUGAGCUGUGAGAUUGUCAUAUUAGCUUAUAUAUAUGAUACUUUGAGUUUCACUACACUUACUUGAUAGCAUGCAUGUCUCUUUAAAAGUUAUUUUUGAGGGACCAGCCCCAAAAUAAAAUAUUAAUUCAAAGAAAGAAAAUAACAAGUUGCAAUGGCAACUUGUUUGCGAUAAGGGCGGCUAAAAUAAAGUUGCAAGUUGCAACAAGACCAAAACAGAAAUAAUUCUGGACGAUGCAAAUUGCAAAGAACAAAGCAUUUUUAUUGGUUGAAAGCUUGACAAAUUUUGCUAUAAAUAACAGGCUUCAUUCCUCAUUUUAAACACACCAAAAUAAGAAAGAAGUAAUAGAAGUUAGAGAGAGUAAUCCACAUAUUGCAGUCUAUGAGAUAAAUAGUGAGUGUGAGUAAUAUUGUAGUGAUGUGUUUUUAAUAAAGAGUAUUAUUUCUUUCAGAAUUGUAGUAGUCUCUUGAUACUACUAAGUUGUAAUAUUAUAGUGGUAAUAU